CAACCCUUUCAUACUCAUUUUGUCACGACCCUAACCGAUGAGCCGCGACGUAAACCCGAUACCUUACUCAACCGAGUACCAUCAUAACGUAUCUUUCAUGUUAUACUUUCAUAGAUAACUGAGCCAGAAGGUUGUAGUGGGAUAAGUAGAAUACAACAUAUGAUACCAACUUAUACAUAAGACAUACAGGCCUAUAAGACAAAAAUAAUCACUCGUAUACUGAACAUAGGCCGACAAGGCCAUACAAUCGUUUACGUACAUGAUAUCUGUCUACAAGCCUCUAAGAAUACAUAAUUUUCAUAAAGGUCAGGACAGAUUCCCGCCAUACCAAACAAUACACGUCUAAAUCAUACUAACCCAACAAGCAAUUCCGAAGAAAAUGGAGCGCACCAACAUCUUUCGUUGAGCUGAUAGCUUACUUGAAGGGCUCUUGACCUGUCUAUCGGGACCUGCGGGCAUGAAACGCAGUGUCCCCAGGCAAAAGAGACGUCAGUACGAAUAAUGUGCCGAGUAUGUAAGGCACAUAAAUAAGUACAUAACAGACAUGGAAGAAAUAUAGAGUAAAUGACUCAACCUGUAAAUCUGGAUAACUCUGUAAAUCAUGAAAUAACUAUAGUGUCAUGCAUAUGCGUAUGAAUGUCAUGUCGUGUAUAGGUACAUAUUUCAUAACAUCAUCAGACCUCUGAGGGCAUCCCAUCAUAUCAUCUCGACCAUUGUGGGCAAAAUCAUCAACGUAUACCAGCUGAUUAGUUGGUGGUGCGUAUAUAAUUCCAUAAGCUUUUCCAUAUCUCAUAUACAUAUAUAUACAUAUAUAUACAUAUAUAUACAUAUAUAUAUAUAUAUAUAUAUAUAUAUAUAUACGUGUAUAUAACAUCAUCUUGUCAUGGAUCAAUGUGCAUGUAUAAAUGCAUGAAAUGCAUAUGAAAUACGUUAAUAAAAUCUCUCGGUACAUCAUAAGACCAUUAUGCCUCUAAUUGAUAUCAUGAAAUAAACUUUACCAACUUACGUAUUUUUGAGACUCAUGAACAGAUGAUAGAAUAAUAUGUCACAUGGGGAAUCAAGAACAUAGAGACCCCUAGUAUUUCUAUAAAUAGAGUCGUUUAUAAAAACUGUGUGUUUGCUCGUUUCUUCCAUAUUAUUUGGAUCAUGCCAAAAAGAAAGAAGGAAUAGCCUUAACAUACCUGGAGUAGGGAAAAAUCUGUAUGAUAUUCUUGGAAAAGAUUACACCGUACUCCUUUAGAACCGCAAAAUUUUACGUUGCUAACAAUUCUCGUUGAAUUUCUUUUGGUUGCAAGAAUUCAUGUUUUUGUUGAAACUUAAGAAUGGCGAACGUUAUGAUAGCUUUGCCAACAAAAAGAUACACCAAAUGAAGCAAAAAAAUGGUGAACCUUAUCAUAGCUUUUCCAAGAAUGAGAUACACCAAAUGAAGCAAAAAAAAGGUUACAAAUCUUCUAAGUAUGUGUUUGAAUGGGUGUGGGAUGACUUCUGGUGGUGGCUUAGCCACAU
RNAcentral lists this long non-coding RNA (1506 nucleotides) under Nicotiana tabacum (common tobacco). Its description in RNAcentral is "long non-coding RNA (NTAB_LNC001326)". Lineage: Eukaryota; Viridiplantae; Streptophyta; Magnoliopsida; Solanales; Solanaceae. The record is from RNAcentral.